RNAcentral lists this ribosomal RNA (253 nucleotides) under uncultured bacterium. Its description in RNAcentral is "partial 16S ribosomal RNA". It matches the Rfam family "Bacterial small subunit ribosomal RNA", at positions 524 to 776 of the family's 1533-position model. The record is from RNAcentral.
UACGAAGGGGGCUAGCGUUGUUCGGAAUUACUGGGCGUAAAGCGCGCGCAGGCGGUCUUCCAAGUCAGUGGUGAAAGCCCGGAGCUCAACUCCGGAACUGCCAUUGAAACUGUGAGACUUGAGGAUGAGAGAGGUGAGUGGAAUUCCCAGUGUAGAGGUGAAAUUCGUAGAUAUUCGCAAGAACACCAGUGGCGAAGGCGGCUCACUGGCCCGAUACUGACGCUGAGGCAUGAAAGCGUGGGGAGCAAACAGG